CUGGAGGAAUUCUGAGAUGGAACAGAUUACCCAUAAUUCACGAGGAUAACUUAACUGGACCUGUUUCCUGUCUGGAGCCGCGAACUGCUCUAUAACCAGCGGAUCCGGACCGAUCUGAGCAGAGCUGAGAGUUUGGAGCCGGUUUGUUAACUCACGUGAGAAAUAGUGCAUUGCUGGAAUAUGUGUGAGAGUGAACAGGAGAUGAGGUCACAGGAAGUCAAGCCCUGGCUGCAAUUGUGUGGAAAAAGGACACUUCCUGUCCGCUUCCCCAAUCCCUUAUGUGGAGGGUAACAGUAGCUGCGGCGUCUGCUUCAGUCGUAUCUGUUUGAGGUGGAAUGACUUUUUUGAGCCACAUUUCAUCAUGUUACACUGGAUUUCUUAAAGGUUUGCAGAGAGAAGCUUGUCCAAACCUACUAAAAUGCCUACCUACAUCAC
Cyprinus carpio carpio is the source of this 435-nucleotide long non-coding RNA. The record is from Ensembl. Lineage: Eukaryota; Metazoa; Chordata; Actinopteri; Cypriniformes; Cyprinidae.